UUUCUCAAACAUUUUCAUCACCAACACAUUCCCAGAUACCUUCGUAGUUCAAACCCUAAGCCAAUCGAUCAAUCCUUAAUCUAAUCGAGCAGUUUUCUGAACUAUUUUAUUACCAUUAAUUCGAUCCUUAAUCCAAUCUACUUCCGAUGCGUCUCUUGUGAAAAGAUGAUGGGAAUUUGCAGUUGAAGAAGUUUCACCAUAUGCAAUGGAUCGUAAGUUGCUCAAUUGAUCGAUUUUUUUCUAACAACCUUCUACGCAUUCAAUGAUUCAAAUAGGUAAUUUCUGAGUUGAGUUCAAACUGAUGACAUAAAUGGAAGCUUUAAUUAGUCAUCACAGAUGUACAUAUUGUAAGGAUUCUUUAUAUGUAUAAUGAAUGUCAUGCUUGUGGUUAAUUCUAAUUUAGGUUAUUAAGUGAUUUGAGUAUAUAUGUUCAUAAUGUUUAUAGUUGAAACUUUGGAGGAUUAAUUAAAGCAAGAGAGGAUUUAACUUGUUCAUAUUGCUGAUUAUAUGAUGAUAACACUGCUAGAGACUGGUGAUCAAAUAUUAAGCAUGUAAAGAAGAUUUAGGAACACAAAUUUCAAGACAUAAAAGUAUUACAGAUGAUGGUUUUAGGCUACUCGGUGUGGGGAGCGUCGUAGGCCAGUCGAGCCCCGGCGCCGUCCCUGUACAGCAUUUCCACAACCGCGGGGUCGUCCUGAUCGUCCUCCACAAGACGUUUGUGCUGGGCCUCCCCUUUUUCACACACACAUAUACAUACAACACACACACACACAUAUAUAAAGGCCCAUCCUCAAUUUCCCUUGGGCCAUCCUUGGAGGGGCAUCCUCCUUGGAUGGUGACGUGGAGGGGCAUCCUCCAAGGACUUGCCUCCUCCUACACCGAGUAGCCUUAUUAAGCUUUUGUGUUGGUCUGCAGGUUUGACAAAAGAAUAAUUGCUUUUUCAUUGUUAAUACCAAUGGACAGGUUCCUUGCAGAUUGACCCAUUUCAUUGUUAAUACCACAGGUUCCUUAGCAGCCAUAUUGAGAUGAAACUGCCACAGGUUCAUUAUAUUUUGAGCCAUUCAUAUUAGUUCUCAUCUUUUUGACCCAUUUAAUUUUAUUUCACCAUUUUGACCCGUUUUAUUUUACUUACCCGUUUUAUUUUACCUCACUAUAUUUUGACCCGUUUAAUUGUAAUUCACUAUAUUUUGGCCCGUUUAGUUUUAAUUCAAUAUAUUUUGACCCAUUUCAUAUUAGUUGUCAACUUUUUGACCCAUUUCAUUUACUUACCUGACUAUAUUUUGCCCCAUUUCAUUUACUUACCUGACUAUAUUUUGCCCCGUAUAAUUAUAAGACACAUCUUUUUUACCUUGUUCGGGUCGGGUUGACCCAUAACACUGCUUCCAAUUAGAUGAGUUGACGCUAACCAGUGUGACGGCUUUGACUUCUUAAAAAAUGAUUUUGAUUGGCGCGGUGCGGCGAGAACUCAGUCGUUAACCGGUCUUUUUUUAUAGUUGGUUACCUCUAGUUGAAAUUAUGAUGUAUAUGGUACUUUUAGUCAUAAAUCAUCAGUAGCACUAAAUCAAUUCUAAGGUAUUUUAGAUAAAAACAUGGUAUUUUAGAUAAAAACACGGAGUUCGAUUAAUUGAAUACAUGAUUGAUUAACUAAAUACCUGAUCAAGAGAUUGAAUGCAGAGAUCGUAUCAAGAGAUGAAGCUAUUAAUGGGGAGGAAUUGGCGAUCUGGGAUAUUAACCCCAAUACCCUAAUAGACUACGUAUUAGGGAUAUGAUUCACAUACAGAUAUAAUUUUAUUUUUUUAUUAGGGAUUUUAAGCAAAAGUACGUAGUUUUGAUAGGUUUGACGUGUAAGGUUAGGCACGUAACAGCACCGUAUUCACUUUCCCCUUUAUAUAUAUACACACGCAUAACUUCGGUUUCAUUAUAAAUAUGAUAUGAUGUAUACAGAAAACAAAAUAAAAAGGUAUUUGUUGUGUUUUAUGAUUGAUCUUAAAUAAACAGUGGAAGUUGAAAAUAGUAACCUAAAUUGUCAAAGCAUACCUGCUGGAGUCGUAAUCGCCUAACGAAAGCCUUCGACUUGGUUGUGGUUGUGUCAAGGGCCGCAAGCUUGAGAGCGGAGUAGUGUUGAACGCUGUUGCUUGAUGCCCUUUAGAGACGCCAAAGUUUGAAAACAAACAGUCGAUUUGUUAAACAAUUUCCCAACUAUCUUCGUAACCAACAAUGAAAGUUGAAAAGAGUAACCUAAAUUGCGCAAAUUGUACCUGGUGGAGCCCUAAUUGCCUGACAAAAGCCUUGAAUUUGGUGGUGGCUGUGUCGCCGGCGUUAAUGGAGUCGUAUGUGUGACAACCCGAACUUUCAAAGUCAGUAUCUCUUCGUCGCGUGAUCCUGUUUCUUGUAUUCCUCUUUCAUUUCCGUUC
RNAcentral lists this long non-coding RNA (2414 nucleotides) under Helianthus annuus (common sunflower). Its description in RNAcentral is "hypothetical non coding rna". Lineage: Eukaryota; Viridiplantae; Streptophyta; Magnoliopsida; Asterales; Asteraceae. The record is from RNAcentral.